RNAcentral lists this ribosomal RNA (468 nucleotides) under uncultured bacterium. RNAcentral's name for it is "partial 16S ribosomal RNA". It matches the Rfam family "Bacterial small subunit ribosomal RNA", at positions 28 to 507 of the family's 1533-position model. The record is from RNAcentral.
GACGAACGCUGGCGGCGUGCUUAACACAUGCAAGUCGAACGGAAAGGCCCUGCUUUUGUGGGGUGCUCGAGUGGCGAACGGGUGAGUAACACGUGAGUAACCUGCCCUUGACUUUGGGAUAACUUCAGGAAACUGGGGCUAAUACCGGAUAGGAGCUCCUGCUGCAUGGUGGGGGUUGGAAAGUUUCGGCGGUUGGGGAUGGACUCGCGGCUUAUCAGCUUGUUGGUGGGGUAGUGGCUUACGAAGGCUUUGACGGGUAGCCGGCCCGAGAGGGUGACCGGCCACAUUGGGACUGGGAUACGGCCCAGACUCCUACGGGAGGCAGCAGUGGGGAAUAUUGCACAAUGGGCGGAAGCCUGAUGCAGCAACGCCGCGUGCGGGAUGACGGCCUUCGGGUUGUAAACCGCUUUCGCCUGUGACGAAGCGUGAGUGACGGUAAUGGGUAAAGAAGCACCGGCUAACUACGUG